Molecule: transfer RNA, 87 nt
Organism: Planctomycetaceae bacterium SCGC AG-212-D15
Lineage: Bacteria; Pseudomonadati; Planctomycetota; Planctomycetia; Planctomycetales; Planctomycetaceae
Rfam family: tRNA
About the family: Transfer RNA (tRNA) molecules are approximately 80 nucleotides in length. Their secondary structure includes four short double-helical elements and three loops (D, anti-codon, and T loops).
Source: Rfam
GGAGGGGUGGCAGAGCGGCCGAUUGCACCGGUCUUGAAAACCGGAGACGCCGCAAGGCGUUCGCGAGUUCGAAUCUCGCCCCCUCCG